RNAcentral lists this long non-coding RNA (250 nucleotides) under Homo sapiens (human). Its description in RNAcentral is "LHRI_LNC1934.1". The record is from RNAcentral. Lineage: Eukaryota; Metazoa; Chordata; Mammalia; Primates; Hominidae.
CUCCAUAGGAAACCUCGCUUAUGCACCCAGAUCUGGUCUGUGAUUUGCUACAGAAAGACAAGAAAUGGCCUGUGGCUUCUUGCUAGAGAGAAGAUACCAUAGAAGGAAGACCCUGCGAAGAUAAAGGGAAGAGACAACCAUCUGCAAGCAGAGGAGAGAGGCUUCAAAAGAAACCAACUCUGCCAGCACCUUGAUCUUGGACUUCUAACAUCUAGAACCAUGAGAAAAUAAAUUUCUGCUGUUUAAGCCA